UUCGGGGUACUCGAGUGGCGAACGGGUGAGUAACACGUGGGUGAUCUGCCCUGCACUUUGGGAUAAGCCUGGGAAACUGGGUCUAAUACCGAAUAUGACCAUGCGCCUCCUGGUGUGUGGUGGAAAGCUUUUGCGGUGUGGGAUGGGCCCGCGGCCUAUCAGCUUGUUGGUGGGGUAAUGGCCUACCAAGGCGACGACGGGUAGCCGGCCUGAGAGGGUGACCGGCCACACUGGGACUGAGAUACGGCCCAGACUCCUACGGGAGGCAGCAGUGGGGAAUAUUGCACAAUGGGCGCAAGCCUGAUGCAGCGACGCCGCGUGAGGGAUGACGGCCUUCGGGUUGUAAACCUCUUUCAGCACAGACGAAGCGCAAGUGACGGUAUGUGCAGAAGAAGGACCGGCCAACUACGUGCCAGCAGCCGCGGUAAUACGUAGGGUCCGAGCGUUGUCCGGAAUUACUGGGCGUAAAGAGCUCGUAGGUGGUUUGUCGCGUUGUUCGUGAAAACUCACAGCUUAACUGUGGGCGUGCGGGCGAUACGGGCAGACUUGAGUACUGCAGGGGAGACUGGAAUUCCUGGUGUAGCGGUGGAAUGCGCAGAUAUCAGGAGGAACACCGGUGGCGAAGGCGGGUCUCUGGGCAGUAACUGACGCUGAGGAGCGAAAGCGUGGGGAGCGAACAGGAUUAGAUACCCUGGUAGUCCACGCCGUAAACGGUGGGUACUAGGUGUGGGUUUCCUUCCUUGGGAUCCGUGCCGUAGCUA
RNAcentral lists this ribosomal RNA (761 nucleotides) under Mycolicibacterium frederiksbergense. Its description in RNAcentral is "bacterial SSU rRNA". It matches the Rfam family "Bacterial small subunit ribosomal RNA", at positions 81 to 854 of the family's 1533-position model. The record is from RNAcentral. Lineage: Bacteria; Bacillati; Actinomycetota; Actinomycetes; Mycobacteriales; Mycobacteriaceae.